AGGAGCCCCCACCCAUUGAUCCUGGCCAACCGACUCAAUCUGGUGGCUUGGACUCUUUCCGGGGUGCCUGGCAAGUCGGUGAACUAUUGCAGGCUGCUAAGGACAUCCUAUGGGACUCAUGGGCUCCAGGAACCAGAAGAUCCUACCUGUCCACUUGUAAUUCCUGGUCUGAUUGGUGCAUGGAACGGAACCUCGAUCCAUUUAUGGCCUCUAUUCUUCCAUUUUAAACUAUCUAACCCAUCUAUUCUCAACAGGACGAUCUUACAGAUCAAUUAAUGUGGUCCGUUCCGCUAUCUCAGCGGCCCACGUCCCUAUCGUUGGGACCCCAGUGGGUAAAGACCCACUGAUAUGUCGACUUCUCAGGGGCAUUCGCCUGCAACGACCCCCUGAACCUAAAUAUUCACGACUCUGGGAUGUCGAAAUAGUCCUACGCUUCCUGAG
Pelobates cultripes (western spadefoot toad) is the source of this 441-nucleotide non-coding RNA. The record is from the annotation of a GenBank genome assembly. NCBI's taxonomy places the organism in Eukaryota, Metazoa, Chordata, Amphibia, Anura, Pelobatidae.